RNAcentral lists this ribosomal RNA (355 nucleotides) under uncultured bacterium. Its description in RNAcentral is "bacterial SSU rRNA". It matches the Rfam family "Bacterial small subunit ribosomal RNA", at positions 8 to 350 of the family's 1533-position model. The record is from RNAcentral.
AGAGUUUGAUCCUGGCUCAGGAUGAACGCUAGCUACAGGCUUAACACAUGCAAGUCGAGGGGAAACGACAUCGAAAGCUUGCUUUUGAUGGGCGUCGACCGGCGCACGGGUGAGUAACGCGUAUCCAACCUGCCCACCACUUGGGGAGUAACCUUGCGAAAGUAAGACUAAUACCCAAUGAUAUCUCUAGAAGACAUCUGAAAGAGAUUAAAGAUUUAUCGGUGAUGGAUGGGGAGUGCGUCUGAUUAGCUUGUUGGCGGGGUAACGGCCCACCAAGGCGACGAUCAGUAGGGGUUCUGAGAGGAAGGUCCCCACACUUGGAACUGAGACACGGUCCAAACUCCUACGGGAGGCA